GCUUGUCUCAAAGAUUAAGCCAUGCAUGUCUAAGUAUAAGUAUUAUACAGCGAAACUGCGAAUGGCUCAUUAAAACAGUUAUAGUUUACAUGAUAAUCGAAUUUACAUGGAUAACCGUAGUAAUUCUAGAGCUAAUACAUGCAUCAAACCCCGACUUCUGGAAGGGGUGUAUUUAUUAGAUGGAAACCAAUGCAGGGCAACCUGGAAUAUGGUGAUUCAUAAUAACUCGCGGAUCGGUUUACCGAUGCAUCAUUCAAGUUUCUGCCCUAUCAGCUUUGGAUGGUAGGGUAUUGGCCUACCAUGGCUUUAACGGGUAACGGAGAAUUAGGGUUCGAUUCCGGAGAGGGAGCCUGAGAAAUGGCUACCACAUCCAAGGAAGGCAGCAGG
RNAcentral lists this ribosomal RNA (387 nucleotides) under uncultured Chrysophyceae. RNAcentral describes it as "partial small subunit ribosomal RNA". It matches the Rfam family "Eukaryotic small subunit ribosomal RNA", at positions 30 to 432 of the family's 1831-position model. Lineage: Eukaryota; Chrysophyceae. The record is from RNAcentral.